This 5937-nucleotide long non-coding RNA is filed under the name Sus scrofa (pig). Its description in RNAcentral is "lncRNA (ENSSSCG00050058004.1)". Lineage: Eukaryota; Metazoa; Chordata; Mammalia; Artiodactyla; Suidae. The record is from RNAcentral.
UUUUUUUUUUUUUUUGCUCAUUCUUUUCAAUACCAGAUAUUAUCACUCUUUAUAGUUUUUGCCAGUCAAUGACAAGUGAUAUCUUAUUUUUGUUUUUACUUACAUUUUCUUGGCUAGCGAGGCUGAGCAUCUUUUCAUAUUUUUAUUGAGUACUUGAGUUUCCUCUUUUGCAACUUGACUGUUUGUAUCCCUUUCACAUUUUCCUCUUGGUCAUUUCUUUCUUUCCUUUUUUUUUUUUUUUUUAACACAUUUUAUUUUUAUUUUUAAUUUUUUUUGCAUCUUUGUCUUCUACUCAAAUAUCCUAGAACUUACAAAUCUAAAAUGAACAUUAAAAGAGUUCCCACUGCAGCACAGUGGGUUAAGAAUCUGAUUGUAGCAGCUCUGGUCACUGCAGAGGUGUGGGUUCAAUCCUUAGCCCAGUGAAGUAGGUUAAAGGAUCCAGCAUUGCUGCAGCUAUAGCGUAGGUCACAGCUGUGGCUCAGAUUCCAUCCCUUCCCUCAGCCAGGAACUUCAUAUGCUGUGAGUGUGGUCAUAAAAUAAUAAUAAAUUAAAUAAACAUUAAAACAGAUCUUGGCCAUUUGUUUCUAACUAGCCUGUAGAAACUUUUUGUAUGAUAGAGACAUAACUCAUGUUAUAAUAAAUAUUUUCUCAGUCUGUUUUUUUAUUUUAUUUAUGUUUUCAUAAUAAAAUUUAACUUUCAAAUAGUGAAACACUAUUUGAAAUCAUAAAAAAAAAAGAAAUCAUAAAAUUCUUCUUCUUCUUUUUUUUUUUUUUUUGCUUUUUAGGGCCACACCUACACCUACAGCAUAUGUAAGUUCCCAGGCUAGGGGUCGAAUUGGAGCUGCGGGCCUGCACCACAGCAGUGCCAGAUCCAAGCCACAGCUGUGACCUCUGCCACAACUCAUGGCAAUGCCGGAUCCUUUGACCCACUGAGUGAGGCCAGGAAUUGAAUCCAUGAGGGUGGAUACUAGUCGGGUUUGUUUCUGCUGUGCCACAACGGGAACUCCCUUAUGAUUCUUCUUAAUGAAAGUCUCUCCCCCACACCUCCUUACUUUUAUUAUCUUAUAUUUAGAUAUCUAAUUCAUUUACAGUUCAUUUUUGGACAUAAUAUGAGAUAGAGUCUGAAUUGAUCAGAAUUUUCUUAUCUUUUUUUUAAUGGCAGCACCUGUAUUGUAGUACAUGGACAUUCCUGGGCCAGGAAUUGAAUCAGAGCCACGGCUGAGACCUCUGCUGCAGCUAUGGCAAUGCAAGGUCCUUGAACCUACUGCACUGGGCCGGGAUUGAACCCACACCUCCCUAGUGACCUGAGGCACUGUAGUCGGAUUCUUAACCUACUGUGGAGGUUACUUCCACAGCUCACAGCAAUGCCGGAUCCUUAACCCAAUGAGCGAGGCCAGGGAUCAAACCCGCAUCCUCAUGGUUCCUAGUCAGAUUUGUUUCUGCUGCGCCACGACGGGAACUCCCCCAUUAGACUUCUAGUCAUAUUUCAUAGAGUAGGGCAUGGCCACCUUCAUUUUCAAGAGUCUAGGCAGGUGAAUAGUUUUGACUAGGUACAUUGCUGCCCUAAACAAAAUCAGGCUAGGGGUUGAAUCGGAGCUGUAGCCACCGGCCUACGCCAGAGCCACAGCAACGCGGGAUCCGAGCUGCGUCUGCAACCUACACCACAGCUCACGGCAACGCCAGAUCGUUAACCCACUGAGCAAGGGCAGGGACCGAACCCGCAACCUCAUGGUUCUUAGUCGGAUUCGUUAACCACUGCGCCACGACGGGAACUCCACACAUUCGGUUUUUGCAAUUUGUCCCGUGUUUGUACCGAUACAGUAAAUAUUUAGCCUCUUUAUAGUGCUAGGUGAUUUCACCAAGAUGCUUAACCUUUAGUUCCCUGUGAAUUCAGUAUUUUUCUUCCACUUUGAGAUAAAGAAAAUGAGCUUAGCAAAGGUCAUUUCUCAUGUGUUUGGAUUUGGCAGAGUAGCCUCUGGUCCUUUCCACUAGGACAGCAGCUAGUCUUCAUUACCUUAGCAUAAGGAUGAGCAUUCUGUCUUGGGGGAUGCAGAUGAGGUUCUGAUGUAUUUUUAUGAUAUUAAUCCAGAGACCAAGGAGUACCUGGGUCCCCUCCUCCCUUUGGAGUCUCACAUUGAGGGAGCUAUAGGGAGCGACAUACAAGGAUGAGAAUCCAGUAACUCCCACUUCAGAACUGUUAUUUCGAACUUUUCCUCCCUUCUCCAAAACUAACAUGGCACAGUCUUCAGAGGAGACCCCAGCAAGAGGCAGAAAAGAAGAGAGACCUGAGUCAGGAAGAAGCAGCAAAUAAGGCCUAAUAAAUGCCUGGGCUCUGACUAAUCAUACCAAACACAGGAAGCCCUUUUUGAUAGCACGAGGAGAUGGAGCAAAAGUGCUCCCUUCUCUAAAAUCUGCAAAAGUAAACCAUAUACCUCCAGUGUAACCAAAAUGUACCAGAGAUUAAAAGUUUAAGUGGGUUUGGUAGUAGUUGUGAUUAGAGCCAAUGUCCCCUUAGUCUUUUUGUGUUCUCAGCCUAUGCAUUUUCACAACUUUUGGAAACCUCAGUUCCUCAGAAUUUCUCACCAGAAACAUCAAGAAUUAGCUUUAGGGGUUCCCAUCAUGGCUCAGCGGUAAUGAACCCCGACUAGUAUCCGUGAGGAUGCGGGUUUGAUCCCUGGCCUUGAUCAGUGGGUUAAAAGAUCCGGUGUUGCUGUGACUGUAUAGUGUGAGGGUUGAAGACGUGACUCGGAUGCUGUGUUGCUCUGGCUGUGGUGUAGGCCGGCAGCUGCAGCUCCUAUUCAGCCCCUAGCCUGGGAACUUCCAUAUGCCACACGUGAGGCCCUAAAAAGACAAAAAAAAAAAAAAAGAAGAAGAAAUACUUUUAGGGUAUUUGACCUUGCGCUUGCUUAUAGCUUCCAUAGUCUCUCUGAAAAUGUCAUUGCUUCAAGAUCUUUUUUGAGGUAGUUUUGCCAGGACCUAAUUCUGUUUUUGUUUUUGUUUUUGUCUUUUUUUGGAGCUGCACCCACAGCAUAUGGAGGUUCCCAGGCUAGGGGUCUAAUUGGAGCUGUAGCCUCUGGCCUACACCACAGCCAAGGCAACACUAGAUCUGAGUGGGGUCUGUGACCUACACCACAGCUCAUGGCAACGCUGGAUCCUUAACCCACUGAGUGAGGCCAGGGGUCCAACCCUCGACCUCAUGGUUCCUAGUUGGAUUCGCUUCCACUGUGCCAAGACGGGAACUCCAGCUAGGACAUAAUUCUGGGUUAACAAUUAUUUUCCUCUUAGACCUUGAAGAUAUUAUUCCACUCUCUUCUGGCUUCCAUUGUUGCCACUAAGAAAUGUUCUGUUAUUUUUUUUUUUUUCCCACUGUACAGCAAGGGGGUCAGGUUAUCCUUAGAUGUAUACAUUGCAGUUACAGUUUUUUCCCCCACCCUUUCUUCUGUUGCGACAUGUUCUGUUAUUUUUGUUUGUUCCUUUGUAGUUAGGCUGUAUUUCUCUCUAGCUGUUUUAGGAUCUUUUUCUUGUCUUUGGUUUUCUAGUUUGACAAUAAUGUGUUUUGGUGUGGCUUUCUUUUUAUUUAGACUGGGAUUCAUUUAAUUUCUUCAAACUCAGAAUUUGAGCUUCGUUAAUUCCAGAAGAUCCUCAGUCAUAAUUUUUCAAGUAUGACCUCUCCUUUGUCUCCUUCCAAAACUCCAGAUGUACUACCAUUGUAUCUUUGAACUUUUAUCAUCUAUGACCCAUAAUUUUUCUUUUACCCUUCCCAUUUCUUUGUCUCACUGGUACAUUCUAGGUCACUUAUUUGGGUCUGUCCUCUAGGUCACUAAUUUUUCAGCUGAACUAUUCAGCUAUUUAAUCUUUCCAUUGAUUUUGUACUUUGAAAUAUAUUUUUCACUUCAGAAAUGCUGUUUGAUUCUCUAAUGCUAAUAGCACUCUCAUGCUCUUUUUUUUUUUUUUUUUUUUUUUUUAAGGGCUGCACUGGUGGCAUAUGGAGAGUCCCAGGCUAGGGGUCGCAUUGGAGCUACAGCUGCCAGCCUGCACCACAGCCACAGCCACACCAGAUCCGAGCCAUGUCUGCAACCUACACCACAGCCAUAGCAACACCAGAUCCUUAACCCACUGAGCGAGACCAGGGAUCGAACCUGCAACCUCAUGAUUCUUUGUUGGAUUUGUUUCCUGCUGUGCUGCCACAACAGGAACUCCCUCAUGCUAUUUUAACAAAGUGAAAAUACUUGCAGUUCCCCAAAGUUGACAGUAGUUAAAGCUGGAAAAUGAGUAUGUGGAGAAUUUAUUCUCCUUUAUUUACUUUUGAUAUGUUAAAUAAUCUUCAUGAUAAGUUAAAAAAAAUCAGAGAGGGGGGGAUGUCAUCAACCUAUAAAAGAUUGGAGGACUUCCCUGAUGGCCUAGUGGUUAAGAAUCCAGCAUUGUCUCUGCUGUGGCUCGGGUCACUGCUGUGAUGUGAGUUUGAUCCCAAGGCCUAAGAUCUUCCAUAUGCUACAGGCAUGGCCUAAAUAAACAAAUACAUAAAGGAUUGGAAACAGUUGAACAGUAGGUCACAUGAAACCAUGAGAAUUUAAACUGGGGCAUGGAGAAAACAGAAUUGUGGGGCGUGGAACUUUUCUUGGAAUGCAGUGGAGGAUUCUGAAUAGGUAGAGGACAGCAGGAAGGGAGGCUGUGAAUAUGUGGGAGUCAGGAAGGCAGAAGUUGGAAGGAGGAAGUAGGUUCUAACCUUUGCUGAGAGGACCCCAAAACAAUCUAUUUAAUUUUCCACAUUGCCUAGAAUCGGAGAAUCACUAGGAAUCAUCUCAAAUACUGCCUUCGUUUGAACAUCGUGGGUUGCUGGUGUUUUUGGUUUUAGGGAUUUUGGAAAGGUGAAAACUCCGGCUUCUGCCAGGUUAGCAUCACUGUUCUGUUUUGGCGAGUAUAGCCAGUGUGAAAUCCUGACUUAACUGGUGUCCCCAACCAGUCUAUGCCCUGCCUUACUAAGUAAGGGAGGAUGAGGAAAAUACUACUUUAGACUUAUUUUCUUAGGUGACAUAAUUCUCUCUUGCUACUUGCUCUUCUGUCUUGAAAAUGUGAAGAAAGAGUUUAAUUUAAAAAAAUCAUCAUGGAGGUCUCAUUGUGGCUCAGUGGAAAUGAACCUGACUAGUAUCCAUGAGGACGUGGGUUUGAUCCCUGGCCUCACUCAGUGGGUUAAGGAUCUGGCAUUGCCGUGAGUUGUGGUGUAGGUCACAGAGGCUGCUCACAUCCCGAGUUGCUGUGGCAUAUGCUAGCAGCUGUAGCUCCAAUUCGACCCCUAGCCAGGGAACUUCAACAUGCUGCAGGUUCAGCUCCCUUCCCCGCCCAAAAGCAAUAAAAAGAUCGGCAGAGUCUCACAUUCAAGGAUUUUCCAUGUGCAAAGCAACCCCUAAAAUAAGUCCUUGGAAUGAACAAGGUUUCUCUUGCAAACGUUUUAAUAACAUUUCUCUCUUUUAAAGAUGUGGUUACAUAUGUCAUGUUAUUAGAUUUUUAUGGCAACUCUCUUGGGUGAGACGUUUUACUAAGUCAUUUCAUAGAAAGAGAGAAAAAACAGUACUUUUUGCUUUACUUUUGUUUGGCAUCUCAUUCCUGGCACAUAGUGGGAGCCCUCAAUAAAUUCUUUUUGGAUAAAUGCCAUUUAAAAUAUGAUUGGAUUUAUGAGAUUUUUGGUUUUAUGUACAGUUCCAAAAAAUGAAAUUCUCUUUUGGCUUCUUCUAGUAUAGUAUUUUUGAGCAGAACGAAGUCUCUUUGCAAUGAUUUAGACAAGUAAAUUUUUAUUUGGAAAAACUGAGUUAGGGAAGUUCCCUUGUGGCUCAGUGGGUUAAGAAUCUGGCAUUGUCACAGCUGCGGCAUGGGUUCGAUCCCUGGCACAGGAAUUACCACAUGCCAUGGGCAAGGCAAAAAAAAAGAAAAAGAAAAAAA